UUUUUUUUGAGUGAAAAAAAAACGAUUUGUUUUUUACUCCUCGCAUCCAUCUCCUCCUUCCCCGCAAGCGAGCUAGGGUGGAGCCGCCGCCUCUCCGGCGUGCCCGCUGGUGCUCCGUCCACCCCUCUUCUUCAUCUUCUCCCCCAACCCCUACUCCUCCCAGGACCAACCGUGGUGGACGACAUGCCCGCCGGCGCUCCGUCCUCCCCUCUUCUCCAUCUUCUAUCCUCCCCUUCUCCCUCCUCCAUCCCUGUCCAGUCCCCACCUCCCCUCACCCCUACUCCCCACAGGCCCACGAGGAUCGAGCGUGCGCGGGCGGCGUUGGUGGACGAGUUGGGCGAUGUGUGGAGGACCUCAAGUACUGCCUCCCCUGCACCUCAAUCGUCGUCACGGCUACCAACUUCUUUGUCCCCCAAGUACUGGUUUUCAGCAGAUCCGGGCGAGGUAAUUAAAUGAUGUUGGAGGUUGUGAUGCAGCACAAGUAGCACAAGUUCAUCAUGUCCACUGCCCUUCAUUGAAUAUCAGGUUCAAUUUUCUUGAUUUUUUACUUGAGCUGUUACUCAUAGCAUUUUUUUAAUCUGGGUAUCAUAGAGUUGGUGUAGUUAAAUGAUGUAAGGGGAUAAGGAACAAAAUUGUGUAAGACGAUACUAACCUGUACUCAUAUUAGUCCAACAUUGUUGGAUAUUGCUUGGAGAUUUGCCCUUUUUAUAAGAAAUCAAAAACAGUCUGUAAUCUGGACGUGUACGAACGUUGCGUGAACAUUUUUCUGUUUAAAUUGGGCGUCCAAUCUCUGUAAGCUGGGUGUUGCCUGUACUUUAUAUUAGUCCAAUGUUUGCCAGUUCCUGGUUGAUUCCCUAUUUGAUGUGAAUCCAUGAACAAAUAAGUUUAUGAACAAGUUCCUGUUUGCUCCCUGUUUGAUUCAAGUCUGAAAGAUUCAUAGAUGCUACACUUCAGUUAUAAAUGCACAAAAAGUUAGGACUGAUAAUAUUAUGAAAGAAAUAUGUUCCAUCCGCCCCUACCCCUUGUAAAUAUAUAUUUAAAUGUGCAUGCCCACUUUGUCGGAACACCGCCCAAUGCUGGAAGACAAUCCGCCGUCCGACGGUGUUGCACAGUUCGCCGCAACUUUGUCGGCUGGUUCUUCACUUGAGGUAUGUAGACAAGGAGUAUUGAAAUUAUGGUCUUUUGUUUUCUGCAACCUAACGUUCAUUGCUUCAGAUGUGUCUUUGGUCUUAUUUUACUACUGGUUGUGAUUGUGGUACAUAACACUGAUGUUGAAAGCGUGGAUCAGGUCCUAUAUUAGCUAUCUUUGAUUUACAUCCAAAGUUCAGUUAUAAUUAUAGGCUGGAAACUUUAUAUUAUUUUGCUAUCUUAUUUCGUUUGUGAAAGUAGCUGCAACAAGUAGCAGUUUGAAUUGAUGCAAUCAAGUAAGCAAGGCUUUGAUUGUAAAAUUUGUGUGUUGGCAUAGGCUGAAGCAAGCACCUUUACUAUCUGUAUUUGUCUGAAUCUUUUUGUGUUGUCAUAGGCUGAAUCAGUAGUUGGUGCAGCUAGCUGCAGCAAGCACCAGCUUAACUUAAUGCUAGCAUUUACUUGAAGCCUUGAUAUGCUCUUGCCGACUGGGUAAACUAGCACAUCUUCGAUCUGUAUGCUUGAAUCUUUAGUUUGUGCAGCUAGCCACUAGCAAGUAAUUAAAGCCUUGAUCUGCUCUUGCCGACAAAAUAAUCUUGGAAGAAGCAUCUAGAUCACUCCACUAUGGGCCCAUCCAGUAGCUUUUCAAGAUUAUCUGUCACUCCACUAUUUACUGUAUUGUUAUAACUGUUCCCUAUUUGAUUGAACUCCGUGUUGAUUGCAUCUUUGGAAAAUCUGGAAUAUUGUUUGAACAAGGUAAUUGUUGGAGUUUUAACUUCAAUUUUUGUUGUCGUUACACAAAAUGUCGCCUCCGCCGACUUUGCUGGAAGACCAUCAGCCAUCGCCUAGACCGACUUCGCUGAAGGUAUCUCUUUUUCUUUGUGUAAAUUAUGAUGGAGCUAUGUUUACAGUGAUUUACAGCCAGGGUUUACUGAUGUUUAAACUAGAAAAAUUGAUUUGAGAAAGUAUUUAACGCAAUUGGUCUAUUGCCAUAGGCUCAAGCAAAGCACCUCUUCGAUCUGUACGAUUUGCCCUCUUGUUUCCUUUAUCAAACUAUCUGCAGCAAGUAGAAAUCUGAAUUGAUGCAAGCAAGUAGUAACCAUUAUGGCGGCAAUAUAUGUGAACAGAAAAAUGGUGACCUUUUGAAACAAUUAUAUGGUUCCAUAUAUCCAAAGGAAUUGACGCCAAUUAUUAUCCUGGAAAAGAGUGUUACCUGGCAUAGUGCUUCUUGCUGUACAAAUAUCCGAAUAUUAUAUUUUACACAUGUGACGCAAGUCUUAUUCGUUUGCAAAAAUAUGGUUGUACAAGAUGGAUGCGAACUCCGAAAACAAAAUUUGGGACAACUGCUAGCAUUCAACGAGAACGAAUAUGAAGACAACAUACCUGCCGAUGUACUAGAAUUCCUCAGUUGUAUCAAGAAAACCAAAAUUAAAACUGCUAUGUAAGAUCUCCAGAUAUUUGUGCAGAUUGAUUAUGUAAGCUACUCUGGAAACUUGGUGCUAACUUCCAUUUUCUCUCAACAGGACAUGUGCUAUUUAUGAAAAUGAGCUUCUCUACUACUGGCUGGCAGCCCGUGAUGGUGGUUUUAGAUAUGAAGCUAAGGAAAGCGUGCCUCAUAAUUCAUUGGAUGGCCAAUUAGAUAUUGGUGGCUGUAAAUGACAUGAGUAUUUAGCUUUAAUAAAAUCUACUCCCUCCGUCCCAUAAUAUAAGAACAUUUUUGCUUGAAAAACGUUCUUGUAUUAUGGGAUGAAGGGAGUAGAUAUGUACUCUUGUGGAUGAGGCUGGUACUAAAUGUGCAUUGAAUUUACCAGCAUUGGUUAAUAUUGGUUUUACUGUCGACAUUGCAUAGUGAGUUUAUAUAAUUGAUACAAGUGAAGACAUAUUUUACAA
Long non-coding RNA from Triticum aestivum (bread wheat), 3015 nucleotides. RefSeq lists it as uncharacterized. The record is from RefSeq and is a predicted model, not a curated record. Lineage: Eukaryota; Viridiplantae; Streptophyta; Magnoliopsida; Poales; Poaceae. The transcript has 2 exons.